RNAcentral lists this ribosomal RNA (497 nucleotides) under uncultured bacterium. Its description in RNAcentral is "partial 16S ribosomal RNA". It matches the Rfam family "Bacterial small subunit ribosomal RNA", at positions 28 to 507 of the family's 1533-position model. The record is from RNAcentral.
GAUGAACGCUGGCGGCGUGCCUAAUACAUGCAAGUCGAGCGAACGGACGAGAAGCUUGCUUCUCUGAUGUUAGCGGCGGACGGGUGAGUAACACGUGGAUAACCUACCUAUAAGACUGGGAUAACUUCGGGAAACCGGAGCUAAUACCGGAUGAUAUUUUGAACCGCAGGGUUCAAAAGUGAAAGACGGUCUUGCUGUCACUUAUAGAUGGAUCCGCGCUGCAUUAGCUAGUUGGUAAGGUAACGGCUUACCAAGGCAACGAUGCAUAGCCGAACUGAGAGGCUGAUCGCCCACACUGGAACUGAGACACGGUCCAGACUCCUACGGGAGGCAGCAGUCGGGAAUCUUCCGCAAUGGGCGAAAGCCUGACGGAGCAACGCCGCGUGAGUGAUGAAGGUCUUCGGAUCGUAAAACUCUGUUAUUAGGGAAGAACAUAUGUGUAAGUAACUGUGCACAUCUUGACGGUACCUAAUCAGAAAGCCCCGGCUAACUACGUG